CCUACGGGCUGCACCAGUAGGGAAUCUUCGGCAAUGGACGAAAGUCUGACCGAGGAACGCCGCGUGAGUGAAGAAGGUUUUCGGAUCGUAAAACUCUGUUGUUAGAGAAGAACAAGUGGGAGAGUAACUGUUCCCACCUUGACGGUAUCUAACCAGAAAGCCACGGCUAACUACGUGCCAGCAGCCGCGGUAAUACGUAGGUGGCAAGCGUUGUCCGGAUUUAUUGGGCAUAAAGCGAGCACAGGCGGUUUCUUAAGUCUGAUGUGAAAGCCCCCGGCUCAACCGGGGAGGGUCAUUGGAAACUGGGAGACUUGAGUGCAGAAGAGGAGAGUGGAAUUCCAUGUGUAGCGGUGAAAUGCGUAGAUAUAUGGAGGAACACCAGUGGCGAAGGCGGCUCUCUGGUCUGUAACUGACGCUGAGGCUCGAAAGCGUGGGGAGCAAACAGGAUUAGAUACCCUCGUAGUC
RNAcentral lists this ribosomal RNA (465 nucleotides) under uncultured bacterium. RNAcentral describes it as "bacterial SSU rRNA". It matches the Rfam family "Bacterial small subunit ribosomal RNA", at positions 338 to 795 of the family's 1533-position model. The record is from RNAcentral.